Molecule: transfer-messenger RNA, 345 nt
Filed under: bovine gut metagenome
Description: Alphaproteobacteria transfer-messenger RNA
Rfam family: Alphaproteobacteria transfer-messenger RNA
About the family: Bacterial tmRNA, also known as 10Sa RNA or SsrA, is named for its dual tRNA and mRNA-like properties. Its role is to liberate the mRNA from a stalled ribosome.
Source: RNAcentral
CUUGCAAUUUCCAGUGGGAAUAUUUAUAAUUACGUUUGUCACGCAAGUGAUGAUGAUUCUGAAUUCGUUGCGGAAUAAUCGUUUUGGACUGGGGGGCGGUACCCCACAGCUCCACCAAUCUUUACGGGGCUGACAUAGUUUCGACAGGCGAAGUAAAGGCAAAUCGAGUGAAUCCGGGCUGUUCCGUUAAAGACAAACUAAAAACUGAAUGGCGAUAGAAUCGCUGCGAACGACAACGUUCGCCUUGCAAUGGCUGCCUAAUAUGGCAUUGAGAUGUGUCGGCAAUUGUUGAUAUAUCUCGCUUAGCUUUUGCGGGGUUCGUCGGGUACCUGGCACCAGAAACCC